UGCUGGGGUGGAUGAGUGGCGAACGGGUGAGUAACACGUGAGUAACCUGCCCCCGACUUCGGGAUAAGCCCGGGAAACUGGGUCUAAUACCGGAUAUGACCAACGCUCGCAUGAGUGUUGGUGGAAAGUUUUUUCGGUUGGGGAUGGGCUCGCGGCCUAUCAGUUUGUUGGUGAGGUAAUGGCUCACCAAGACGACGACGGGUAGCCGGCCUGAGAGGGCGACCGGCCACACUGGGACUGAGACACGGCCCAGACUCCUACGGGAGGCAGCAGUGGGGAAUAUUGCACAAUGGGGGAAACCCUGAUGCAGCGACGCAGCGUGCGGGAUGACGGCCUUCGGGUUGUAAACCGCUUUCAGCAGGGAAGAAGCCCCCUUGGGGGUGACGGUACCUGCAGAAGAAGUACCGGCUAACUACGUGCCAG
RNAcentral lists this ribosomal RNA (423 nucleotides) under Brevibacterium sp. R10.11. RNAcentral describes it as "bacterial SSU rRNA". It matches the Rfam family "Bacterial small subunit ribosomal RNA", at positions 80 to 511 of the family's 1533-position model. The record is from RNAcentral. Lineage: Bacteria; Bacillati; Actinomycetota; Actinomycetes; Micrococcales; Brevibacteriaceae.